CCAAGCAUUGAGCAGUUAAAGAAGACCCCCUAUAAAG
RNAcentral lists this unclassified non-coding RNA (37 nucleotides) under Bodo saltans. Its description in RNAcentral is "partial miscellaneous RNA". Lineage: Eukaryota; Euglenozoa; Kinetoplastea; Eubodonida; Bodonidae. The record is from RNAcentral.